GACAUGACCCACCAAUGGAAAACACAGCAGUGAGAAGCAUCAAGAGUGUGAAGGGAGGACUCUUCAGUGUUAGUCAGAAUUUGUAGCAGACUUGGAAGAAAUCUCCUUCUGCAAAUUGCUGCCAUCACCAAGACACCAACGUUCUUGGACUGUCAGUGUGAAAGCCAUCUCUUCUGAAACUGGGUAUUGUCAAGAGAAAAUGCUUCUCCAUGGCUUGGGGUUCUGGGAGAUUCCAGAAGUGGAAGUGUGGCCCAGCUGCUUCAGUUUUGACAACAGAAUGACCCCAACCAGCUUCAAUGCUGGAUUGAAUUUAACAGCUCCUCUCCCCAGGAUUGCAGUGUCACCAGAAGGUGAAACCCCAGACCUCCCAGGGAUGUCACUGCUUUAACUCCCUGAAAGGAAGAGUGUAGGUGACAGCAGCAGAUAGAAAAAGAAAAUGUGAAGAGUGUUAGUAAGACAGAAUAAAGGAACUUUCUUCUUCUACUCAGAAGAGGGAGAUGUGCUUUGGAAUCAGUCUCUUUAAGGAUAAAGAUAUCCCUCUAAUGUGAGUAAACUGAAAUCUGCUGUUUAUCUAUGACUAGCUGAUGUUUUAAUGAAAGUAGUGUUCACCUAUUAAGUUUUUAUUUUAUUUAAACUUCUUUACAUUUGGGAAGAUUUUGCCUAAACAUCCUUUUUCAGUAUAAAUGAACUUACAUUCUACAAAUGUCUGCAAAACCUAGAAAUCAAUCCAUUAAUAUUUUUAUCCCUGCAUUCUCUGCCUGUGAAAUGGGGCUACUGGAAAAUAUUCUCCAUUUGGUAGCAGGGCUGUGGGAAAAAGCACACUGUAGCUUGUAAAUGAAUACUAUGGCAUUUAAAUAAGCAUCUUGAAUUUUAACAGCUUCCUUAAGAAAAAACAAUUUUAUGCAUAUUUCACAGAUUUGGAUCUGAGAUAUUAGCAAGUUAGAGUUUGUGUAACUAUGAAAUUAUUGAUUUUUCCACUGUAGAAAGAAUGUGUUUUGCUAGCUAGGAUGACACCAUGUUCAUUUUCUGCAUUGUUGGACAUUGUACUGAUGGGCAAACUUUUAGUACCUUCUGUUUUGAGGUUAAAAUGUUUAACAUUUAUUGAGACUGAAUAGAAUUUAUAUUUAAAGGAAGACUUUGCCUCUUGUACUUCUUACCAUAAACUGAGAUAUCAAAUUCCUAGUAUGACAUUUCCAGCUACUACAGGCAGCUCAGGAUGAGGGAUCUUUUGCUCUCUGCCAUUCUCUUUUUGCUCAGACAAAUGGCAGGUGUGAAUGUGUAACUCCACAUCCUAGGACUUUCAGUUCUGUGUGUACAUGCCAUGUGAUUCCUGUGCAGUUACAGCACGUGUGCAUUGUGCUGGGGAGUGA
Oenanthe melanoleuca is the source of this 1370-nucleotide long non-coding RNA. RefSeq lists it as uncharacterized. Lineage: Eukaryota; Metazoa; Chordata; Aves; Passeriformes; Muscicapidae. The record is from RefSeq and is a predicted model, not a curated record. The transcript is spliced from 4 exons.